Eptesicus fuscus (big brown bat) is the source of this 766-nucleotide long non-coding RNA. RefSeq lists it as uncharacterized. The record is from RefSeq and is a predicted model, not a curated record. NCBI's taxonomy places the organism in Eukaryota, Metazoa, Chordata, Mammalia, Chiroptera, Vespertilionidae. The transcript is spliced from 3 exons.
GUCUCAGACCUCAGUGAAUCAUUGCUUUAUGGAAUUUCAAAGCUGGGAAGAAAUAGAUCUCCAUUUUCAUUGCCAUGACGACAGAAUCAGAGAAGUGAAAAAUUGCCUCCCGAAACAGUGCACAACAGUUAACAAAGUCGCACCUUUUUAAUUAGUGGCAAGAUGACUUAACAGUAGAAUCCUUUUGUUUGAAUCCAUUUGGCUUGUCUCUCGAUCCUUAAAAAGGAGUUCUUGGAAUUAAAAAUAAACAAAACUGCAAACAAUGAUGACGACAACAACAACAAAAGCAGAAAACAACUCCAAGACCAUGUGGAUUCCUGCAACAGAGAGGAAUUGACAGGACUGCUCCAGCCAUGAAGACAGAAGAGAAACAGUCCAGAGAUGGAAGACGCUGACGGCGCCUUGCCACACUAGCAGUUAGCAGCUGUGCAUCGCUGCAGGUUUCCCAGGACCAAACCAGAGAGGGUCGGACCUGCAUUGCCACUAUUUGUCCACCAUCCAGAACUGAAAUAUCAUUGCUGACAUGUACACAUAAGGAACUGUUUGACAUUGAAAUUGGAACUCAAAAGAACUGUUGGCCCAGAAAGAAACUCACUACAGACUGAUUCAUUUGCCUCUCAGCAUAACCAUUAUUGCUUGUCUCAUUUUCGGUUCUUAUAAGUGUAUUUCUAGUAUCACAUGACCUCACUCAUCUAGGGGAAAUAAUGAACAACAUAAACUGAUGAACAAAAACAGACCCAGAGACAGGGAAGCAUUGAUCAGACUG